AUGUCUCACCGUGGUUCCACUAUGACCUGGGAACAGGUUUAUCCAGAGUGCCGAUAAUGCCUAGGACAUUACACAGAUAGGGGAAAUCAUCUAGUUGCUUUGCAGGAUCCAAAUGAAUAGACCUUCUGCUGGAUUAGAUCUUGCAUGAAUGAAGCCAUACUUUAAAAAAUGCUCAAUCUUUCAUUGUUCCUUCCUGAAUUUACCAAUAUAUUCAGCCUGUCUUCACCAAAACUGUUUCUAGCACAGUUACGUAGUUUUUGUUUCUCAUUGUAUUUUCAAAGUGCUCUGGUAAGGUGUAAUGCAUACGUCAAGAUCCGACGCGAGUGGCCGUGCUCAAUGUUUAACAUAAUAAAAAUGAAUUUGUGAAACCUG
Tachyglossus aculeatus (Australian echidna) is the source of this 372-nucleotide long non-coding RNA. RefSeq lists it as uncharacterized. The record is from RefSeq and is a predicted model, not a curated record. NCBI's taxonomy places the organism in Eukaryota, Metazoa, Chordata, Mammalia, Monotremata, Tachyglossidae. The transcript has 2 exons.